Molecule: non-coding RNA, 99 nt
Filed under: Otolemur garnettii (small-eared galago)
Lineage: Eukaryota; Metazoa; Chordata; Mammalia; Primates; Galagidae
Description: Small nucleolar RNA U109
Rfam family: Small nucleolar RNA U109
Source: Rfam by way of RNAcentral
UUGUAUGUGGAAAUGUCUGCUCCUUAUUUCUUUGAGAACAAGAAUAUAUUCAUUACAUGGUACAUUAAAACAGGAGUUCUCAUGGUGGCUCAUAGGCAA